UACGAAGGGUGCAAGCGUUACUCGGAAUUCCUGGGCGUAAAGCGUGCGUAGGUGGUGAGUUAAGUCUGUCGUGAAAGCCCCGGGCUCAACCUGGGAAUGGCGAUGGAUACUGGCUCGCUAGAGUGCGGAAGAGGCGAGUGGAAUUCCUGGUGUAGCGGUGAAUGCGCAGAUAUCAGGAGGAACACCAAUUGCGAAGGCAGCUCGCUGGGACGUAACUGACGCUGAGACGCGAAAGCGUGGGGAGCAAACAGG
Molecule: ribosomal RNA, 252 nt
Filed under: uncultured bacterium
Lineage: Bacteria
Description: partial 16S ribosomal RNA
Rfam family: Bacterial small subunit ribosomal RNA
Source: RNAcentral